Molecule: transfer RNA, 65 nt
Filed under: Dryococelus australis
Lineage: Eukaryota; Metazoa; Arthropoda; Insecta; Phasmatodea; Phasmatidae
Description: tRNA-Phe
Source: RNAcentral
AUUUAUAUAACUUAUAUUAGAGUUUAAUAUUGAAGAUAUUAGGGAAGAUGUUUAUCUUGUAAAUA